GGAAAACUCAUCAAAAACUCUAACAUGUUUCAAAAAUUUGGUGUUGCACUUCUUUCUCUCUUUCUUUUCUUUUUUUCUUUUUUUUCUCUUUUUUUUUUCUUCUUUUUUUUUUUUUUACAGCAUACAGCAACACCCAUUUUUAUUUUCACUUCCAACACAUGAUAACCAUUUACAAAAUAAUCCCCAUAAUAUCAUCUCCCAAAGUUGUUCCCCUCCCAAAAACUGAUCUGAUCA
Molecule: long non-coding RNA, 234 nt
Filed under: Salvia miltiorrhiza (redroot sage)
Lineage: Eukaryota; Viridiplantae; Streptophyta; Magnoliopsida; Lamiales; Lamiaceae
Description: long non-coding RNA (SMIL_LNC012529)
Source: RNAcentral